UCAUGUUGUGGGCAGCUCCCCCGGGGAGGAGUCCAUACAGAUGGCCAACCUGUCACCAGGUUGCUCAGGACUUCCCUGGUGUUGGAUUGGAAGGCUCACGUCCCAAAAACUCCCUCAGCCCUGGGCACACCAGGAUGGUCAGCCUACACCACAUGAUGAGGAACGGAGGCCUCUGGACAGCGGUGAGCAAGAAGUUGAGGCCUUCCACCAACAACCACAUGAAGAGCCACCUUGGAAGCCAGCCCCCCGGCCCCAGUCAAGCCUUGAGACUACUGAAGCCUCAUUAAAGACCCUGAGCCAGAACCCCAGCUGCAGUGAUCUUCCUGUUUGGGAAUUUCUUUGCCUUUCCUGAAAAUCAACCUGAGGGAAUUUCGCUAUCAGAGUUCCUGAAGAGCAGAGCUGGGCAGGGCCCCUGGCUGCUGUGGGGAUGACGCCCAAUCAACUGAGUCAUACCAACCAGAGUUGGGGGUGCAUUUUUUUGUUCUUUUGUUAUCUUUCCUUGCCUCUUACUUUCCUACCUGUAUUUUUCCUUUUGCC
Phyllostomus hastatus (greater spear-nosed bat) is the source of this 537-nucleotide long non-coding RNA. RefSeq lists it as uncharacterized. The transcript has 3 exons. The record is from RefSeq and is a predicted model, not a curated record. NCBI's taxonomy places the organism in Eukaryota, Metazoa, Chordata, Mammalia, Chiroptera, Phyllostomidae.